Molecule: ribosomal RNA, 459 nt
Filed under: uncultured bacterium
Lineage: Bacteria
Description: partial 16S ribosomal RNA
Rfam family: Bacterial small subunit ribosomal RNA
Source: RNAcentral
CUACGGGGCGCUGCAGUGAGGAAUAUUGGUCAAUGGCCGAGAGGCUGAACCAGCCAUCCCGCGUGCAGGAUGACGGCCCUAUGGGUUGUAAACUGCUUUUCUACGCCAAGAAAUCUGAUUACGUGUAAUUAGUUGACGGUAGCGUAGGAAUAAGCAUCGGCUAACUCCGUGCCAGCAGCCGCGGUAAUACGGAGGAUGCAAGCGUUAUCCGGAUUCAUUGGGUUUAAAGGGUGCGCAGGCGGGCUUGUAAGUCAGUGGUGAAAUACUGCCGCUUAACGGUAGAACUGCCAUUGAUGCUGCAAGUCUUGAAUAUGGUUGAGGUAGGCGGAAUGUGUUGUGUAGCGGUGAAAUGCAUAGAUAUGACACAGAACGCCGAUUGCGAAGGCAGCUUACUAAGCCAUUAUUGACGCUGAGGCACGAAAGCGUGGGGAGCGAACAGGAUUAGAUACCCUGGUAGUC